RNAcentral lists this ribosomal RNA (428 nucleotides) under uncultured Blastocystis sp. RNAcentral's name for it is "SSU rRNA". It matches the Rfam family "Eukaryotic small subunit ribosomal RNA", at positions 110 to 552 of the family's 1831-position model. The record is from RNAcentral. Lineage: Eukaryota; Bigyra; Opalinata; Blastocystidae.
UUAUAGUUUAUUUGAUGAAAAGUACUACUUGGAUAACCGUAGUAAUUCUAGAGCUAAUGCAUGAUAAAAUCCUCGACUUUGAAGAGGUGUAUUUAUUAGAAUGAAACCAAUAGACUUCGGUCUGUUUGUGAGUAAUAAUAACUAAUCGUAUCGCAUGCUUAGGUAGCGAUAUGUCUUUCAAGUUUCUGCCCUAUCAGCUUUGGAUGGUAGUGUAUUGGACUACCAUGGCAGUAACGGGUAACGAAGAAUUUGGGUUCGAUUUCGGAGAGGGAGCCUGAGAGAUGGCUACCACAUCCAAGGAAGGCAGCAGGCGCGUAAAUUACCCAAUCCUGACAUAGGGAGGUAGUGACAAUAAAUCACAAUGCGGAACUAUUAGUUUUGCAAUUGGAUUGAGAACAAUGUACAAAUGUUAUCGAUAAACAAUUGGA